CUGGAGGUAUCAGAAGUGCGAAUGCUGACAUAAGUAACGAUAAAGCGGGUGAAAAGCCCGCUCGCCGGAAGACCAAGGGUUCCUGUCCAACGUUAAUCGGGGCAGGGUGAGUCGACCCCUAAGGCGAGGCCGAAAGGCGUAGUCGAUGGGAAACAGGUUAAUAUUCCUGUACUUGGUGUUACUGCGAAGGGGGGACGGAGAAGGCUAUGUUGGCCGGGCGACGGUUGUCCCGGUUUAAGCGUGUAGGCUGGUUUUCCAGGCAAAUCCGGAAAAUCAAGGCUGAGGCGUGAUGACGAGGCACUACGGUGCUGAAGCAACAAAUGCCCUGCUUCCAGGAAAAGCCUCUAAGCAUCAGGUAACAUCAAAUCGUACCCCAAACCGACACAGGUGGUCAGGUAGAGAAUACCAAGGCGCUUGAGAGAACUCGGGUGAAGGAACUAGGCAAAAUGGUGCCGUAACUUCGGGAGAAGGCACGCUGAUAUGUAGGUGAAGUCCCUUGCGGAUGGAGCUGAAAUCAGUCGAAGAUACCAGCUGGCUGCAACUGUUUAUUAAAAACACAGCACUGUGCAAACACGAAAGUGGACGUAUACGGUGUGACGCCUG
RNAcentral lists this ribosomal RNA (603 nucleotides) under Escherichia coli. Its description in RNAcentral is "partial 23S ribosomal RNA". It matches the Rfam family "Bacterial large subunit ribosomal RNA", at positions 1273 to 1861 of the family's 2925-position model. Lineage: Bacteria; Pseudomonadati; Pseudomonadota; Gammaproteobacteria; Enterobacterales; Enterobacteriaceae. The record is from RNAcentral.